Molecule: unclassified non-coding RNA, 329 nt
Filed under: Hevea brasiliensis (rubber tree)
Lineage: Eukaryota; Viridiplantae; Streptophyta; Magnoliopsida; Malpighiales; Euphorbiaceae
Source: RNAcentral
GGAAACCGUUCGAGAAGAGUUAGAACAGUUGAAGGGCCAUUUUAUGCUUAUUCUGUUUCCAUUUUGGCAACUUAUAAAAUGCAUCUUUAGUCAUUCCAAACUUCUCCCUGAACUCUUCUGAUGAGAGGUAAGUCUCUCGUUUUGUGACAUCAAUGUCUGAAAUGGGGUCGGUUGAUGUAGUCUUUAGGCGCUCAUAUGGAUAUGUUGUGAGGCCUUCAUCAUCUUCAGUCUCACCUUCUUUCACGUCUUCUUGUAUGGUGAGAGUUUCAAUUCUGACCGUCUUUAUGUUCUCCUUCUCCUGAACCUCCUUAUCAUUAUUAUUAGUCUCU